GGCGGGCAAGUUUGAGACAUCAGGCAGAACAAUAUCUUCCAAUAUUACAUAAAUGUCAGUGGUGACAGAAUCCCCAUGAAACUUUAUCAUCCUCUUUAGGUCCUUAUCAUUGGAGAUAGUAAUGAGAGUCUUCCUAUUGCCAGGGAGAAAGUACUUGAGAGAAAUAGUAUUGAUGCUACAGUUAAACAUUUCAGCAACUUCCAUCUUAAAGUCAUUAAA
RNAcentral lists this unclassified non-coding RNA (219 nucleotides) under Hevea brasiliensis (rubber tree). Lineage: Eukaryota; Viridiplantae; Streptophyta; Magnoliopsida; Malpighiales; Euphorbiaceae. The record is from RNAcentral.